GAGUUUGAUCAUGGCUCAGAUUGAACGCUGGCGGCAUGCCUUACACAUGCAAGUCGAACGGCAGCACGGGAGCUUGCUCCUGGUGGCGAGUGGCGAACGGGUGAGUAAUGCAUCGGAACGUAUCCUGGAGUGGGGGAUAACGUAGCGAAAGUUACGCUAAUACCGCAUAUUCUGUGAGCAGGAAAGCGGGGGGACCUUCGGGCCUCGCGCUCUUGGAGCGGCCGAUGUCGGAUUAGCUAGUUGGUGAGGUAAAGGCUCACCAAGGCGACGAUCCGUAGCAGGUCUGAGAGGAUGAUCUGCCACACUGGAACUGAGACACGGUCCAGACUCCUACGGAGGCAGCAGUGGGGAAUUUUGGACAAUGGGGGCAACCCUGAUCCAGCCAUGCCGCGUGAGUGAAGAAGGCCUGGU
This 411-nucleotide ribosomal RNA is filed under the name bacterium enrichment culture clone ALO1_GLFRUDD03GXPFZ. Its description in RNAcentral is "bacterial SSU rRNA". It matches the Rfam family "Bacterial small subunit ribosomal RNA", at positions 9 to 420 of the family's 1533-position model. The record is from RNAcentral.